GAUGAACGCUGGCGGCGUGCCUAAUACAUGCAAGUCGAGCGAACAGAUGAGGAGCUUGCUCCUCUGACGUUAGCGGCGGACGGGUGAGUAACACGUGGAUAACCUACCUAUAAGACUGGGAUAACUUCGGGAAACCGGAGCUAAUACCGGAUAAUAUAUUGAACCGCAUGGUUCAAUAGUGAAAGACGGUUUUGCUGUCACUUAUAGAUGGAUCCGCGCCGCAUUAGCUAGUUGGUAAGGUAACGGCUUACCAAGGCAACGAUGCGUUGCCGACCUGAGAGGGUGAUCGGCCACACUGGAACGUAGACACGGUCCAGACUCCUACGGGAGGCAGCAGUAGCGAAUCUUCCGCAAUGGGCGAAAGCUUGACGGAGCAACGCCGCGUGAGUGAUGAAGGUCUUCGGAUCGUAAAACUCUCUUAUUAGGGAAGAACAAAUGUGUAAGUAACUAUGCACGUCUUGACGGUACCUAAUCAGAAAGCCACGGCUAACUACGUG
RNAcentral lists this ribosomal RNA (497 nucleotides) under uncultured bacterium. RNAcentral's name for it is "partial 16S ribosomal RNA". It matches the Rfam family "Bacterial small subunit ribosomal RNA", at positions 28 to 507 of the family's 1533-position model. The record is from RNAcentral.